GAUAGGGUGGCUGAAGGUAGGCAAUAAAUUGUAAAUUUAUAUAUAAAUGUAAAGUUUCUCUAUUA
This 65-nucleotide transfer RNA is filed under the name Peloridora minuta. Its description in RNAcentral is "tRNA-Tyr". It matches the Rfam family "tRNA". From Rfam's summary of the family: Transfer RNA (tRNA) molecules are approximately 80 nucleotides in length. Their secondary structure includes four short double-helical elements and three loops (D, anti-codon, and T loops). Further hydrogen bonds mediate the characteristic L-shaped molecular structure. tRNAs have two regions of fundamental functional importance: the anti-codon, which is responsible for specific mRNA codon recognition, and the 3' end, to which the tRNAs corresponding amino acid is attached (by aminoacyl-tRNA synthetases). tRNAs cope with the degeneracy of the genetic code in two manners: having more than one tRNA (with a specific anti-codon) for a particular amino acid; and 'wobble' base-pairing, i.e. permitting non-standard base-pairing at the 3rd anti-codon position. The record is from RNAcentral. Lineage: Eukaryota; Metazoa; Arthropoda; Insecta; Hemiptera; Peloridiidae.